AAAUGACUCUCGGCAACGGAUAUCUCGGCUCUCGCAUCGAUGAAGAACGUAGCGAAAUGCGAUACUUGGUGUGAAUUGCAGAAUCCCGUGAACCAUUGAGUCUUUGAACGCAAGUUGCGCCCGAAGCCACCUGGCUAAGGGCACGUCUGCCUGGGUGUCACGU
RNAcentral lists this ribosomal RNA (163 nucleotides) under Scandix pecten-veneris (Venus's comb). Its description in RNAcentral is "5.8S ribosomal RNA". It matches the Rfam family "5.8S ribosomal RNA". Rfam says of the family: 5.8S ribosomal RNA (5.8S rRNA) is a component of the large subunit of the eukaryotic ribosome. It is transcribed by RNA polymerase I as part of the 45S precursor that also contains 18S and 28S rRNA. Functionally, it is thought that 5.8S rRNA may be involved in ribosome translocation. Lineage: Eukaryota; Viridiplantae; Streptophyta; Magnoliopsida; Apiales; Apiaceae. The record is from RNAcentral.